GACGAACGCUGGCGGCGUGCUUAACACAUGCCAGUCGAACGGAAAGGCCCUGCUUGCCGGGUACUCGAGUGGCGAACGGGUGAGUAACACGUGGGUGAUCUGCCCUGCACUUCGGGAUAAGCCUGGGAAACUGGGUCUAAUACCGGAUAGGAGCCAUUUUUAGUGUGAUGGUUGGAAAGUUUUUUCGGUGUAGGAUGAGCUCGCGGCCUAUCAGCUUGUUGGUGGGGUAAUGGCCUACCAAGGCGGCGACGGGUAGCCGGCCUGAGAGGGUGGACGGCCACAUUGGGACUGAGAUACGGCCCAGACGCCUACGGGAGGCAGCAGUGGGGAAUAUUGCACAAUGGGCGCAAGCCUGAUGCAGCGACGCCGCGUGGGGGAUGACGGCCUUCGGGUUGUAAACUCCUUUCGCUAGGGACGAAGCUUUUUGUGACGGUACCUAGAUAAGAAGCACCGGCUAACUACGUG
RNAcentral lists this ribosomal RNA (465 nucleotides) under uncultured bacterium. RNAcentral's name for it is "partial 16S ribosomal RNA". It matches the Rfam family "Bacterial small subunit ribosomal RNA", at positions 28 to 507 of the family's 1533-position model. The record is from RNAcentral.